GACGAACGCUGGCGGCGUGCUUUAGGCAUGCAAGUCGAACGCGAAAGCCCCUUCGGGGGUGAGUAGAGUGGCGAACGGGUGAGUAACACGUGGGUAACCUGCCCCUCGCAGGGGAUAACCGGGGGAAACCCCGGCUAAUACCCCGUACGCUUGCUGGGGCGCAUGCUCCGGCAAGGAAAGGGAGCUUCGGCCAUCCGGCGGGGGAGGGGCCCGCGGCCCAUUAGCUAGUUGGUGGGGUAACGGCCCACCAAGGCGACGAUGGGUAGCUGGCCUGAGAGGGUGGUCAGCCACACUGGGACUGAGACACGGCCCAGACUCCUACGGGAGGCAGCAGCCAGGAAUCUUGCGCAAUGGGCGAAAGCCUGACGCAGCAACGCCGCGUGGGCGAUGAAGGCCUUCGGGUCGUAAAGCCCUGUUGUCGGGGACGAAGGGCGAAGGGUUAAUAGCCCCUAGCCUGACGGUACCCGACGAGGAAGCCCCGGCUAACUACGUG
This 493-nucleotide ribosomal RNA is filed under the name uncultured bacterium. Its description in RNAcentral is "partial 16S ribosomal RNA". It matches the Rfam family "Bacterial small subunit ribosomal RNA", at positions 28 to 507 of the family's 1533-position model. The record is from RNAcentral.